AGGAGAAGGAGCUCCUGGAGAAGCUGUACCAGGUGGGGCUGCUGCUGGAGACAGCAAGGACAACCUCAAGGAUGACAGUCUCUUCCUUGGCCUGGCCAGCUGAAGAAGAUGGACUUGGAUUCUGGCACCUUCUCUAAAGACACACUCCACACCCAAUUUGCAGCCGGGCUCUGCGGGUGCUGAGGCUGCUCUGGGCUCUGCCAGGGCUCUGCUGGGCUCAGCCCUGGGCACAGCUGGGCUGGCUCUGCCCUCACAUUGCUCUGACAGCUUUGCAUCAGACAAGCCCGUUCCGAGCACAGCGCCUGAGCUUUCUGCUUUGGCAGAGGUGCCACAAGUGGGCCAAAGCUGGCGAGUGGGCCGUGUCCCUGAGGCAGUGCAGUCUGGAGCUGAUGGAUGGAGAAUUGCCUUUCUGCACUCCCAAACCAGAGGAAAAAUCUGUAAGUGGGACUUUGUGUCUUUAAGAAACCCCUGACAGUUUCAAAGGGAAUGUGCAGCUCAUUCACAGGGUGAGAAGGAAGGGCAUCUUCUGAAGGGUUUGGGGUUUGACAGAGGUUAUAUUCCCAGUGCUGCUUGGAGCUGGAAGGGCACAAAGCAAUUUCCCAUUGCUUCAACCACAAUUUAAAAUAACAAUGUUGGAAACAAAGCCCAAAAACUUUUUAAAAAGGCUGCUGAGGUCAGUAAGAUGGAUCCAUGCCAUCAGCA
Molecule: long non-coding RNA, 702 nt
Organism: Passer domesticus (house sparrow)
Lineage: Eukaryota; Metazoa; Chordata; Aves; Passeriformes; Passeridae
Exons: 3
Source: RefSeq, a predicted model, not a curated record